GUAGGUGGCAAGCGUUGUCCGGAAUUAUUGGGGCGUAAAGCGCGCGCAGGCGGUUCUUUAAGUCUGAUGUGAAAGCCCACGGGCUCAACCGUGGAGGGUCAUUGGAAACUGGAGAACUUGAGUACAGGAGAGGAAAGCGGAAUUCCACGUGUAGCGGUGAAAUGCGUAGAGAUGUGGAGGAACACCAGUGGCGAAGGCGGCUUUCUGGUCUGUAACUGACGCUGAGGCGCGAAAGCGUGGGGAGCAAACAGGAUUAGAUACCCUGGUAGUCCACGCCGUAAACGAUGAGUGCUAAGUGUUAGGGGGUUUCCGCCCCUUAGUGCUGCAGCUAACGCAUUAAGCACUCCGCCUGGGGAGUACGGCCGCAAAGGCUGA
Molecule: ribosomal RNA, 375 nt
Filed under: uncultured organism
Description: partial 16S ribosomal RNA
Rfam family: Bacterial small subunit ribosomal RNA
Source: RNAcentral